GGAAAUGUGCCUGAACUUAAGGGCCACUAUGAUAAAGUGGACAUAGAGGUAUACAAACCCUCUCAUUUCCU
This 71-nucleotide transfer RNA is filed under the name Zenaida auriculata (eared dove). RNAcentral's name for it is "tRNA-Ile". Lineage: Eukaryota; Metazoa; Chordata; Aves; Columbiformes; Columbidae. The record is from RNAcentral.